AGCGAACGCUGGCGGCAGGCUUAACACAUGCAAGUCGAACGCCAUCUUCGGAUGGAGUGGCAGACGGGUGAGUAACGCGUGGGAACGUACCCUUUGGUUCGGAAUAUUCUCGGGAAACUGAGAGCAAUGCCGGAUAAGCCCUACGGGGGAAAGAUUUAUCGCCAAAGGAGCGGCCCGCGUCAGAUUAGGUAGUUGGUGGGGUAAAGGCCUACCAAGCCUACGAUCUGUAGCUGGUCUGAGAGGAUGAUCAGCCACACUGGGACUGAGACACGGCCCAGACUCCUACGGGAGGCAGCAGUGGGGAAUCUUGGACAAUGGGCGCAAGCCUGAUCCAGCCAUGCCGCGUGGAUGAUGAAGGCCUUAGGGUUGUAAAAUCCUUUCAACGGGGACGAUAAUGACGGUACCCGUAGAAGAAGCCCCGGCUAACUUCGUG
RNAcentral lists this ribosomal RNA (433 nucleotides) under uncultured bacterium. Its description in RNAcentral is "bacterial SSU rRNA". It matches the Rfam family "Bacterial small subunit ribosomal RNA", at positions 29 to 507 of the family's 1533-position model. The record is from RNAcentral.